RNAcentral lists this unclassified non-coding RNA (308 nucleotides) under plant metagenome. RNAcentral describes it as "partial contains 5.8S ribosomal RNA, internal transcribed spacer 2, and large subunit ribosomal RNA". The stretch from base 1 to 104 matches the Rfam family "5.8S ribosomal RNA", at positions 51 to 154 of the family's 154-position model. The record is from RNAcentral.
AAAUGCGAUAAGUAGUGUGCAUUGCAGAAUUCAGUGAAUCAUCGAAUCUUUGAACGCACAUUGCGCCCCUUGGUAUUCCAUGGGGCAUGCCUGUUCGAGCGUCAUUUGUACCCUCAAGCUCUGCUUGGUGUUGGGUGUUUGUCCCGUCUCCGCGCGUGGACUCGCCCCAAAGUGAUUGGCAGCCGGCGUACUGGUCCCGGAGCGCAGCACAAGUCGCGCAAACGAGUGCCUUGGUACGGCGGCGUCCAUAAGCCCCUCUCUCACGCUCUUGACCUCGGAUCAGGUAGGGAUACCCGCUGAACUUAAGC